UAAGGUUUAAAAAUUAUUUGACCAAUGACUGUUCUCCUCAUUUACCCGGGCUUUGAAAUUAAAAUAAAUUUUAAUACAAAACUAAAACCCUAUUGAAUAAAAUUGUUUAGUAUGUAGUGCAUAUAAAUUAUAUAUUUUAAAUAAAAAUAUAAUAAUAUAGUUUUUCGAGAAUAAGUUAAACAUAACCAAGAACAUAAAACACAUAUAUAACAAUGUUUUUAUUUAACGUUGCUAAGCAACUGCUUUAUACGAUGCACACGAAUGCAUGUACAUUAACCUUGAAUAAAAUCAAUUACAGUAUUUUUAUUUUAACUUAAUAUAAAUCAAACUAUUUAUCGUUAGAUUUUAUAGAGAAAGAUGUAUAGAAUAAUGAUUUAUAUUAGUAUAGUAAUAAUACACCAUUUAUGAUUCAUUUAAAUAUCAAAAACCAAAAAUAUAUAAAACUAUUGUAUGAUUAAUUAAAAUAUCAAUUUACAAAGGAACAUAAGACGAGAAAAAGGAUACGAAGAAACUUUUUUAAAAGUUGUAUUCAAGUGUGAAUUUAUUUCAUUAAU
RNAcentral lists this long non-coding RNA (554 nucleotides) under Polistes fuscatus (common paper wasp). RNAcentral describes it as "uncharacterized LOC122523869". The record is from RNAcentral. Lineage: Eukaryota; Metazoa; Arthropoda; Insecta; Hymenoptera; Vespidae.